GCUCACUCGCCCAAGUAACCCACCGUCCCAACCCUUCGAUCCUCCACAUCCCCCGACCUUCGACCAACAAAGCAACCAUCCACGGCCGCAACCUCCUCACCAUUCCGUCGUCGUGCUUUUCCCGUCAGUCGAAAGUCCAACCUGGUGAAAGAAAGGUGGCCGGACGACCGCAAUAAAUUUUUACGAGAAAAUUUUAUCAAACAUCGCUAGUAGUACCGCGUCGACGACAACGUUCGCGAGGGUGCAAACAGCGGUGCAACCAGCUGAGGGUAGAGAGCGGGCGAACGGAGAGAGUACGCAUCGCGGGAGACGAUCGAGCGAGCGAGAGAAACCUAGACAGUACAAAAGAACGACGGACUUGUCGCUCAAUAGAACAACACCGGCACGGCCGGUCGAGAUCGUCGUCGGCGACGUCAGCACGAGAAGUCGGGCAGACGCGGGAAACAGCCUUUAACCUUUGAAAUAGCGCCGCGCGCGAUUAUAGCCGAAGACCGGACAUCAUCGUGGAGUUAGAGACGAACAGAAAGAGAGGGUAAAAGAAGUGAGAGAAGAGGGAGGAAAGAGAGACAGAGAGACGCUGUAAGAGAGAAAAACAUACGGAAUCAUUACAACCACCUGGAGAACUUCUCUCUCGAGUGCCUCUGAUAUCACGACUCCCGUAUACCUUCGGUGUAAUCCCAGAUACACACACGCACACCCACGGGCGAGCAAGCGGGCGCGCGCGCGCCAGGUAUCACACGCCCAUAUGAGCGGCUGUACGGAAGCGGAGCGCUCCGUGCGAAAAUGUCAGUGAAUGAAUCGCGUCCCGCCGUGUGUGACCAGACAACGUUAUACGUGGUAUGAUUGCACGGGGUGCUGUACAUCGGGACGAUUACAUAGUCUUUACUCACUCUUGCAACAUCGACAAUUGGAAAGAGAAAACAGAAGAGGAAAUGCACAACAAUCAUAGUCGAAAGUAGCGUCAGUCUGACAGCUGGACACUUACUGAUAAAGACAAAAACAUCGGAAAGAUACGUCUUCUCUUCCCGGAUCAAGAAAACAAUAGAGAAACAGAAGCUGGAAAGAACGAGAAACAAAAGCAAAUAUAAAAGAGAAAGAAGCGGAAAGAAGAAAGAAAAGAUCAAAAUCAAAGAAAAGAAAGUGAGAAAGAAGAGAAAGGAGAUAAAAUAAGGAAAGGAGAGCGCGGAGCAACAUCAGGGAACGACGAGCGGAGGGUUUCUUUGGAAAGAAGAAAGGUCGAGGCGGGAGAUCGAAGGAAAGCUCGGGGGAAAAACGCAGGCACGGCAGAAAGACAGCGAGAGAAAUCGAGAAGCAAGUAUUAUCACGUAAUGCCCCGCGUGUAUUUCACUGCACCUCCUAUAUCGAUAAACCUCGCGUAAUUUUUUGUAUUAUCUGUAUUUUGGGCGUCUCUCACGCCGACAUCCUCACUAUAUAUAGUAUAUGUCGGUAUGUACCUUUUUCUCUGCCUUUGUUCUAUACUCUGUUGUACCUUUGUCGCAAAACACUCGCUCGUGUAUUGCCUUCCCGCGUCUCGCACCGACAAACAAUCGCGCACCGCUCUCUGCCACGGCAAGCCUUUGCUUUUUGAACGUUUUUCGGGGCACCUGUUGAUAUGACCGACCUACAUACUACACUGCUAUCCACAUUAUUAUGUCACCCCAGCAUCGUCAUACGAUCGAGUCAUCGGAUACGGCGCGCGGAUUCGAUACACAAUUAUUGUCACGCUUGGCGUGUCGAUGCUGUUCGCGCGAGUAACAUCGUAUCUCGUUCGACGUUUCGGAACAUCUACACAAAAAAACCAUUUUUACUGGAAUAACAAAAUUAAUUGUAACAAUAUUACCACAUGGCCAAUAAGGAGAAUUUGCUAAGCCUAUUGAAUUUUUUGUUUUGACAACAAAACAUUCAGUAGACUUAGCAAAUUUUUCUUGCUGGUCAUAUAAUAGCAAACCUGUUUUUUUUGUGUAUUGUACGCGCGCGAUUACGCAGCUUUCAGAACGACAUUCUGAACGAAUUCUUCUUGAAUCAUAUCGAGAUAAAGUUACUAAGUAUUUCUUUAUCUUCUUUCCUGUUCGACUAUUUCUCAAUUGUCACAGAUAAACAGCGCAAAAUUAUACGUGAUGAUGAUGAUUAGAAAUCAUUUGAUUAUAUCGCGCGGAUGAUGUUUUUUAUAAAACAGUGCAUUUUUUAAUUUUAUACGAUAAUUUUUGAUAAUUUUACUAGGUCGCAUUUGUGAAAAUUACCGCUAAUAAAUCGGAUUUAUAAGUCUAUAUUGAGAUUAGAUAUUAUAUAAAAACAUAAUGGUAUAUAUAUAACAAGAAAAUCUAAAUCCCACGCACCGUUUGCAAAUUUCGCGAUGCAAUGGUCUUUUAUUGAUACAAAACAUUCAGCAGAAUAGUAGUCUUAAGUCAUUCUGCAGCGUGGCACGCGAAAAUUACUUCUCAUUGUCACGUGCCGUUCUUAUCUCGUUGCGACAUUACCUUGGAUCAUAUAACUCGGACAACGCUCAGGGGCGCGGUUAUUUACAAGCGAACGGACACACAUCACGCGCCGCAGAGAAAAAAGAGAAUUGUUUAUGAUCAUUAGCGUUAUGAUUAUUAAUCGCGAUCCGUUGCUCGCGUCGUGGUUUUACUCUAUCUUUGUGGAGAAACGAACGAUAUGUAUGUACAUAAUCGAUACGUGAGCAGACUUAAGAGAUAGGGAUGGGACGGAGAAGAAGAAUAGAAAGAAAGGGGUUAGGCAGAGCAGAGAGGGAGAACAGAAAGAGAAAGAGAGAUGAAGAUGUUAAGGUAAGCGGAUAAGGAAACGACGCCGAAAGAACGAGGAGAGGGUCUCUCUCAUUGAGAGAGCGAUUGUGAUAGCUUUCUCGGCGCACGAAAAAUGAUCGCGAGCGUUUCACAUGGGUGGCACCACAUCGAUUGGUUUAAAUGUUGUCCACACACCGAGCACCUUUCGCAUCUAUGAGCACCUGAGCACCACACCACGAUGAGCACCUCUGAUACCAUCUCCAGCACCUCCGAUACCACGUCGCAGCACUGUUGAAUACCCUGAGAAAAAAGUAAAUAAAAGAAAAGUAAAAACCACCACAAAUCUUUUUGUGUUCCUGGCACUUACGGUUGUAGGCUGUAUCGCACGUUUAUUUUCUACUAACAACCUGCUUUCAGGACAGUCGGUACAGGACAGGUGUGCACUUUAUCACGAAGGGAAAGCCAAGGUCGCGACUAUGCUAACAUGGACUGCCGAAAGUGAGGCGUAUUGAUUAGAAGGGGGCGAGCGCAUAACGCAAUCAAAUGUCAAAUCUGAUACACCGUGCAUUCAAGUCAACGACUUAUCCUUAAUAGAGACAGAAGAAGAAAAAGAAAAAUUAAUAAAAGACAGAGAGAAAGAGAAAGAGAGAGAGAGAGAGCGAGAGAGAAAACAAGAUCUGUUGUCGAAUUUUGCAACUUGAAAAAUUGUCAACAUAAACAAGUCUCCCGGUUGCCAUUUAUUAGAGACGUCACUGUCAAUAAAUGAUUACAUCGGUAUUGCAUUUUCUAUGCAAUAAUUCAUCACUGUGUUAAAAACAAAUCGCCGCUUGUGAUUUCUCAUCAGGUUUACCUUCGAUCUCCCUUUCAUCGGUAUCAAUCAACUGCCCUGAAAUAUUUACUCACUUUGAACAUACAUACAUACAUACAUAUCUGCCUAUACACAAUUGACACAUGCAUACACACGCGCUAUCCUCAGUUUCCUAUUGUAUCGCGAGUUCAAAUAAAAAGUCGGCCUAAACUCAGAAUCGCUACUGACGUGCCUUCAGACUGGCAGUGAGUAGAACGCAGAGUUGAAGAAGGUGAACAAAUAAAAAAGAAACAAAAAACUUUGUUGUUGCUCUUCAUGUAAGUCAAUUAUAACGCCCAGUUGUACAAUCGUACGCGAUAAAAAAGUGAUUGUAGAAAAAACAGAAGAGAGAGAGAGAGAGAGAGAGAGAGAGAGAGAGAAGAAAUAUAAAUAUACAUAUACAUAUACAUAUAUAUAUAAAGAAAGACUAGAAAGAAAAAAAAAACGGAGGAGAUACCGAUUUGAAAAACGGAGCAUUAAAUAAUCAGCAAAAUGGCGAUUUGCGUGUUCUGGCUUCUAACUUAUGUGGGACAAGGUCUAGAUGUGGCAGUAGGCAAUCGACCUACGAUCGUACAGGUGCCAGUCGCACAGGGACUGGACUAUCGCUACGGAAGUAGCGGCAUCAAAAAGAGAAGUUUGGAAGUAGACGACCUGUUGCACGGCGGAAUAACUCCUACCGACGGUCCUCAUCGGAAGGAUCUGUCCAGCUGGCUAGUCUUGAACGACGACUCAGAUACGUGGUCGCCGCAUAUCACGGACAUGUUGAUCGAGGAUAUUAUCCAAGAAGGGCAAGCGCUUCAGAAAGCAUUCUUCUCUCUCACGCAGCCGACCGUGUCUCCCGCCGUGCUGAACCCCGCUGUGAAUACCGCCAUGCUCUAUUCCGAGCACAUGACGUCGCAGAAAUCGCUGACGAUCGCUGAUCCUUUUGCGCGCGAGGACGAGGACGAUAUUUACCAGCGGCAUCUCUAUUAUCACGAUCGCGAGCCUCUCGUGAAGAAACGGCGUCUGGGCUGUAAACAUCCGCGGGGUCCGCUCAGCCUGCCGAUACCGGUGUGCGACGAGGCCAGCAGGAGAACUGCCAUCGGCCUUCAAGAACCCAGACAAUCUAAUCACGAUCUCUACGCGGAGCCAAGAUAUAACACCGCGGUCAACAUGAAGACUGAAAUCGCGCGCGCCGACAGCGGCAUUUCUCCCUUUAAUUUGCCUCCAAACAGUGGCUUCGCCCCUUGGGCUUUCAUUUACGAGACUGUCAAGCUACCUGGAAACAAGCGGAGUCAGAUAGUAAUCGGACGGCGUUCGAUCGAUGGCCAGGGAGAAUCUCCAGGACAACAGACUCAACCGUCCUCGAUACCGUCGGCCGAUUCGAGCUUCGCCUCACAAAUCAUGACGAAGAGGAACACCCGGGGAAGCAUUCAAUACGACAUACCGCAAAUUGAAUGUCCAGUCUCCGACGAUGGGAUGGACAGAUUCGCUUGUCCAACUGCAGAUAGAAUGGGCAGAUAUCAUUGUAUUGAUGAUCAUGUUCUGUGUGACGGAUUUAUAGACUGUCCCAUGGGCGAGGAUGAAGACAGACAACACUGUAUGUUCUACAAAACCACUCCAUCUGCUCUUACGUACAAGUGAGAAGAGACGUGUGGCGGUAAAUUUACAUUAUUCCAGCUUUCUUUUAUCCAUGCUUCCUCGUCAAGAGAAUAUAUGCUAUCAGCGACAGAAUAAAGACAAAAACGCAUUUGAACAUAUUAGCAGACGCCAUACUCCGUUGGGCAAGAGGACGCUAAUUCUCUCUUUGUUGAUGACCCUCC
This is an RNA transcript of Pseudomyrmex gracilis, 5393 nucleotides long. RefSeq lists it as uncharacterized. The record is from RefSeq and is a predicted model, not a curated record. The transcript has 4 exons. Lineage: Eukaryota; Metazoa; Arthropoda; Insecta; Hymenoptera; Formicidae.